This 253-nucleotide ribosomal RNA is filed under the name uncultured bacterium. RNAcentral's name for it is "partial 16S ribosomal RNA". It matches the Rfam family "Bacterial small subunit ribosomal RNA", at positions 524 to 776 of the family's 1533-position model. The record is from RNAcentral.
UACGAAGGGGGCAAGCGUUGUUCGGAAUUACUGGGCGUAAAGGGCGCGUAGGCGGCUUACCAAGUCAGGCGUGAAAUUCCCGGGCUCAACCUGGGGGCUGCGCUUGAUACUGGUGAGCUUGAAUGCGGGAGAGGAUAGUGGAAUUCCCAGUGUAGAGGUGAAAUUCGUAGAUAUUGGGAGGAACACCAGUGGCGAAGGCGGCUCGCUGGACCGGUUCUGACGCUGAGGCGCGAAAGCGUGGGGAGCAAACGGG